AUGGCUCCUGGAUUUCUGAAUUCAGAACAGCCCCUGCACUGCGUCAUUUUAAAUAAUAUCCGGCACCAAACGAUCAGCCCUGCCCUGUUUCAAAACAUUGCAAUCUGUCUAAAAACCUACACAAGAAAAUCAGAAAUAAAAGGCCAGUAUCAGUUCACAAUAAAGGCAGAAGAAAUUAAUUCGAAAAGGCAUAAUGAAGAAUCUCCAAAUGCAGAAGCUUGA
Vicia faba (fava bean) is the source of this 222-nucleotide non-coding RNA. NCBI's taxonomy places the organism in Eukaryota, Viridiplantae, Streptophyta, Magnoliopsida, Fabales, Fabaceae. The record is from the annotation of a GenBank genome assembly.